UAAUCUAAUGACUCUUGGGAGGCAAAAAUCAGAGGAUAAAAGAGCUAACAGCAAAUACCACACUGACAAAGGCAGUUUGCCUGAGGGCCAUGUGGUAAUAAUACUCUUCAGAAGUUCUAGAACCCUGAGGAUUUCAAAGGGGGAGAGUCUCAUCUCUGGGUUGGAACUGCGCCAGAUUGGAAGUCAUAUCAGAAGAAGCCAGGGUCUUGAUAUGCCUUCUUUUGACACGGGGACCACUAACCAGGCCUGGGAGAGAAGGAGGAAUUAGCCUCAUCUAAAAGGAAAUCGUAUACUUGGCCAAUUCAAUAGACAUGAAUUGGGACUUCCUGUGUUCCUGUCUCUAUAGCAGGUUUUGUGAGGAGGUGUAAAAAUACAUCAGAAAGUUCCUGCCCUCAGAGCUUUCAGGGAAGUGAGGAAGGUAGGUAUACUAAAAAAUUAUAUCUCCUCUUUGUGAGUGCUGUAAGGAUUCCAGGUGAGGUAGACAGAAGUUCUUGAAAAACACAAGGUGAAGGUGGCAUUAAUUUUAAUAGGAAAAAGUAAAGUUUCACAGAGGAGGCAGAUUUCGAAAGGCAGAACCAAGGGAGAAGGAACAGCACAAGCAAAGAGACAGAGGUGGGGUGACACAGGGUGUCAGGGGACUGGUGAAGCCUUCAUCAUCCUCGUCUUUCAAGCCAUGUUCUCACAGCCACUAUAAUGGUGUGAAACAAGAGCUCAGACUCACGUAUCUGCAGGGACCAGGCUACUAAGGUAAAUGAGUGAAAUGGGCUGGAUAUAGUUCUAGGGAGUGGGGAGGACUGUGGCAAAGUAGCUUGUGUGCCAGUGUGUGAGGAUGGUGGGUCUUUAAGAAUAGCUGCGGGGUGGGGGAGUUGUAUGAAGCGGUUCAAAAGGUACAAGCCUCCAGUUAGGAGAUAAACAGGUACCGGGGAUGUAAUGUGCAACAUGAUGACCAUAGCUGACACAGGUGUAUGGUAUGCUUGCUUGAAAUUUGCAAAAUAGAUGACAUAUAAUAUAUAUACAUACACAUGAAGAGAUGAUGUUAACUCAACUUAUUGGAAGCAUUUUUCAGUCUACAUAUGUGUCAUUAUGUGGCACACCUUAAACUUGUAGGGUACUCUGUGUCAUUUAUAUCUCAAUAAAACUGGGGGGACAAAAAAGAGUAAUGGCCUGUCCCCUCCAGCCGCACUCCAUUUGACUCCACUGGAUUGAUGCCAAGAAGCACAUUUCCUAUUGCAGAGGGUAUCCCCAAACUGCCCAUUGAUAAACAGUGCAAAGACCUUAGGGGCAUACUACCUCCCCCACCCAAACAGUGGGUAAACCUAGUUUCCAUCACACAGACCCCUCUUACCAAUAAGCCGGCAUUUUUCAUGGCCAGGGGAAGCCCCAGGAGUCCUGUGCCAAUGUUGCAUUUCAGUAAAUGGAUCAAAGUUUGCAUUCUCCUGUAGGGAAGAGUGGGGAGACAAGAGGGUUAGUGGGUGGGAAAGGUGAUCCAAAGCUCAGGCUCCUUCCAGCAUCUUCAGCACCUGCCACCCUUUGGGAGGAGGGACAAAACCCGAUGAGGUGAACUCUGGAACAUCUGAUCCAGGGCUGGUGCUAGUUUAGGUGACUCAACACGUACUUAACCCACAAUAGGCUCAAAAGAAAAGGUUGACAAUUGCUACCAUUCUGGAUAAGCCCCUAGUACCAGUUUAUUCAUUAAUUCAUCUAAUGAUUUCUUUCAGUUUAUUCACUAAAAUAAUUUUUAAAAAAAUUUUUUUAACGUUUAUUUAUUUUUGAGACACAGAGAGACAGAGCAUGAACAGGGGAGGGGCAGAGAGAGAGGGAGACAAAGAAUCUGAAGCAGGCUCCAGGCUCCGAGCCAUCAGCCCAGAGCCCGACGUGGGGCUUGAACUCAUGGACCGCGAGAUCGUGAUCUGAGUUGAAGUCGGACGCUUAACCGACUGAGCCACCCAGGCGCCCCUAAAAUAAUUUUUAUUGAGACCUACUAGGCCUUGGCAUCUAGAUGGACAAUGAAAUAAUUAAUGAUUUUCUUAAUUUAUAGAGUAAUUAUUGGUGCCAGUUUAUUUAUUAAUUCAUUCACUAGAAAAAAAAAACGUAACUUCUCCUGCUAUUUGGAGUAUUUACUGGUUCUAGUUCAUUCCUUCAUCCAUUUACUCAACCAAUAUUCCUGUGAACUGUUCCAUGCUCUGCAUUGGAUGCAAUUUAAUAACAAUUGUUAUUGUGCAUGCAGAACGUUAACUAUGUGUCUUGUAGGGUGCUGGGUACCAGGGUUCUAAAUGCUCUCCAUGCCUGUGCUGGCAGUUUCUGCUAAAGGAAGUGGUAAGAAUCAGAAGAGGUAAUGACAUGAUGAAUCUUGGAAUCAUGAAGUGCUUCUAAGAUGUGAGGCAUCAUCACCAUCACCACCGCCAUCAUCACCAUUCUCGUCCUCAUCAGCGACACUACCACCUUUGGUCUGACGUUAUGGUGCCUACCUGCUAGAAGGGCCUCCUUGAAGGGGAAGUAGAGCUGGGUGGAUAGAAAACAGGUGUUAGGAAGACAGAAGUGGGCAGAUGUGGCCCAGAGCUGUGAAGGCAGCCGCGCUUGACCUCAGAUCUAGAAGGGCAGGACAGCCACUUACGAUAAGCCGCUGGCUUCCUCAGCAGGAUGGACGUUCUCUGCAGUGACAUUGCUCUUCCUCU
Molecule: long non-coding RNA, 2675 nt
Organism: Neofelis nebulosa (Clouded leopard)
Lineage: Eukaryota; Metazoa; Chordata; Mammalia; Carnivora; Felidae
Exons: 3
Source: RefSeq, a predicted model, not a curated record